Molecule: ribosomal RNA, 464 nt
Filed under: uncultured bacterium
Lineage: Bacteria
Description: partial 16S ribosomal RNA
Rfam family: Bacterial small subunit ribosomal RNA
Source: RNAcentral
GACGAACGCUGGCGGCGUGCCUAACACAUGCAAGUCGAGCGAAUGAAGUUCCUUCGGGAAUGGAUUUAGCGGCGGACGGGUGAGUAACACGUGGGCAACCUGCCUCAUAGAGGGGAAUAGCCUUCCGAAAGGGAGAUUAAUACCGCAUAAGAAUGUAGUAUCGCAUGAUACAGCAAUUAAAGGAGCAAUCCGCUAUGAGAUGGGCCCGCGGCGCAUUAGCUAGUUGGUGAGGUAACGGCUCACCAAGGCGACGAUGCGUAGCCGACCUGAGAGGGUGAUCGGCCACAUUGGGACUGAGACACGGCCCAGACUCCUACGGGAGGCAGCAGUGGGGAAUAUUGCACAAUGGGGGAAACCCUGAUGCAGCAACGCCGCGUGAGUGAUGACGGCCUUCGGGUUGUAAAGCUCUGUCCUCAGGGACGAUAAUGACGGUACCUGAGGAGGAAGCCACGGCUAACUACGUG